AUACGGAGGGUGCAAGCGUUACUCGGAAUCACUGGGCGUAAAGCGCGCGCAGGCGGCUAUUUAAGUUGGAUGUGAAAGCCUACGGCUCAACCGUAGAACUGCAUCCAAAACUAUUUAGCUAGAGUGUGGGAGAGGAAGAUGGAAUUAGUUGUGUAGGGGUAAAAUCCGUAGAGAUAACUAGGAAUACCAAAAGCGAAGGCAAUCUUCUGGAACACUACUGACGCUGAGGCACGAAAGCGUGGGGAGCAAACAGGAGUAGAAACCCCGGUAGUCC
RNAcentral lists this ribosomal RNA (274 nucleotides) under uncultured bacterium. RNAcentral describes it as "partial 16S ribosomal RNA". It matches the Rfam family "Bacterial small subunit ribosomal RNA", at positions 523 to 796 of the family's 1533-position model. The record is from RNAcentral.